CAAAAUCAUUCAAAACCUGUAUAUAGUGGACAACUAUAUUGUAUAAAUAUUUGAUGAUUUUAUGUUAAAGCAUACCAAAAUUAUUCACCAAACCCUGAAGUUUUUAGAGCAUUUUGACCAUUUUUGCAUUGUUUCCAUGGUAACAGCAGACAUUUUGGAAAUUCCAACGCCAAAUUCCACAUCUACCAAUGUUGCUCAUCGUUACCAUGAAGUUUCAAAAAAUUUGGAGCAUUUUGAUAUUUUUGAAAUUUUUGGUGUAGUUUCCAUGGCAACAUAGUAGUUCCAAUGAUUGCCAAAAUCAUCCAAAACCAGUAUAUGGCUGGCACCUACAUUGUAUUAAAAUAUGAUGAUUCUGAGUUUAAGCAUCUCCAAAUUAUUUACCAAAACCAAAAACUGGAAUUUUUCACAAUUGUUCCGUUUCCAUGGAAACGGCAGCCAUUUUUUAUGGUCUUAGACCCUACUGCAACCCGGAAUUUUGUGUUCCUCAUUAUAGUAAACUAUCAUUAAGAUUGGUUCCAUUGGCUCCAAGAAAACUGCCGGACAAAAUUAGGUGGAAGAAUAAUAAUAAAAAAAAGAAACAGAGGAAAAGCAAUAUGUCACCCGACAUUGUCGAUCGGGUGACAUAAUAACUAGAAUUGCCAUUGCAAGCAAUAGCGGAUGUCACCCUGGUCUGCAAAUUGACACUCAACAGCAGCCAUUUCGAAAUUGUCCAUCAGUAAAUGCAGAUUUUUGCAUACAUUGUAUCUUCUGUUUUAAAUUCCAAUGAAUUUGGAGCAUUUUGAUAUUUUUUGUAUUUUUGCUGUUUCCAUGGUAACGGCCGCCAUUUUAAAAAUUCCAAAGUCAAACUACUGCUGCAUAUUGUUCUCCCAUGAUAAUAUACAAUUAUAUAACAUUUAAUGUCGGUAGAACUAGUUUAACACUUAUGUUCUGGAAUGUUCCAUGAAAAAUUCACCCCCCUCAAAUUAUGUCUAGAGACCCCCCAGUUGAAAAAAAAAAUGUACCAUGUUGAAGUGUGCAUGGGUCUCUUAAUAUCAUAGAAGUUUCAUAUAAAUUGGAAC
RNAcentral lists this long non-coding RNA (1058 nucleotides) under Mytilus galloprovincialis (Mediterranean mussel). Lineage: Eukaryota; Metazoa; Mollusca; Bivalvia; Mytilida; Mytilidae. The record is from RNAcentral.